This 475-nucleotide ribosomal RNA is filed under the name uncultured Desulfobulbus sp. RNAcentral's name for it is "bacterial SSU rRNA". It matches the Rfam family "Bacterial small subunit ribosomal RNA", at positions 912 to 1382 of the family's 1533-position model. The record is from RNAcentral. Lineage: Bacteria; Pseudomonadati; Thermodesulfobacteriota; Desulfobulbia; Desulfobulbales; Desulfobulbaceae.
GACGGGGGCCCGCACAAGCGGUGGAGUAUGUGGUUUAAUUCGAUGCAACGCGAAGAACUUACCUGGUCUUGACAUCCCGGAGACCCUUAGGAAACUAGGGGGUGCUUCCAUCUGGAAGAAUCUGGAGACAGGUGCUGCAUGGCUGUCGUCAGCUCGUGUCGUGAGAUGUUGGGUUAAGUCCCGCAACGAGCGCAACCCUUGCCUUUAGUUGCCAGCAGUUCGGCUGGGCACUCUAAAGGGACUGCCGGUGUUAAACCGGAGGAAGGUGGGGAUGACGUCAAGUCCUCAUGGCCUUUAUGACCAGGGCUACACACGUACUACAAUGGCCGAUACAAAGGGCAGCGACACUGCGAGGUGAAGCCAAUCCCGUAAAAUCGGUCUCAGUCCGGAUUGGAGUCUGCAACUCGACUCCAUGAAGUUGGAAUCGCUAGUAAUCGUGGAUCAGCAUGCCACGGUGAAUACGUUCCCGGGCCUU